This 440-nucleotide ribosomal RNA is filed under the name uncultured bacterium. RNAcentral's name for it is "partial 16S ribosomal RNA". It matches the Rfam family "Bacterial small subunit ribosomal RNA", at positions 338 to 795 of the family's 1533-position model. The record is from RNAcentral.
CCUACGGGAGGCAGCAGUGGGGAAUAUUGCACAAUGGGGGAAACCCUGAUGCAGCGACGCCGCGUGAGUGAAGUAGUAUUUCGGUAUGUAAAGCUCUAUCAGCAGGGAAGAAAAUGACGGUACGUGACUAAGACGCCCCGGCUAAAUCCGUGCCAGCAGCCGAGGUAAUAUGUCGGGGGCAAGCGUUAUCCGGAUUUACUGGGUGUAAAGGGAGCGUAGACGGCAUGACAAGUGAGACGUGAAAGCCUGGGGCUCAACCCUGGGACGGCUUUUGAAACUGCCGAGCUGGAGUGAAGGAGAGGUAAGCGGAAUUCCUGGUGUAGCGGUGAAAUGCGUAGAUAUUAGGAGGAACACCAGUGGCGAAGGCGGCUUACUGGUCUGUAACUGACGUUGAGGCACGAAAGCGUGGGGAGCAAACAGGAUUAGAUACCCGGGUAGUC